Molecule: ribosomal RNA, 500 nt
Filed under: uncultured bacterium
Lineage: Bacteria
Description: partial 16S ribosomal RNA
Rfam family: Bacterial small subunit ribosomal RNA
Source: RNAcentral
GACGAACGCUGGCGGCGUGCCUAAUACAUGCAAGUCGAGCGAGACUCUUCGGAGUCUAGCGGCGGACGGGUGAGUAACACGUGGGCAACCUGCCUGUAAGACUGGGAUAACACCGGGAAACCGGUGCUAAUACCGGAUAAUCCUUUUCCUCUCAUGAGGAAAAGCUGAAAGUCGGUUUCGGCUGACACUUACAGAUGGGCCCGCGGCGCAUUAGCUAGUUGGUGAGGUAACGGCUCACCAAGGCGACGAUGCGUAGCCGACCUGAGAGGGUGAGCGGCCACGCUGGGACUGAGACACGGCCCAGACUCCUACGGGAGGCAGCAGUAGGGAAUAUUCCACAGUGGACGAAAGUCUGAUGGAGCAACGCCGCGUGAGCGAUGAAGGCCUUCGGGUCGUAAAGCUCUGUUGUUAGGGAAGAACAAGUACCGGAGUAACUGCCGGUACCUUGACGGUACCUAACCAGAAAGCCACGGCUAACUACGUGCCAGCCGCCGCAGUAA